ACGAACGCUGGCGGCGUGCUUAACACAUGCAAGUCGAACGGAAAGGCCCUGCUUUUGUGGGGUGCUCGAGUGGCGAACGGGUGAGUAACACGUGAGUAACCUGCCCUUGACUUUGGGAUAACUUCAGGAAACUGGGGCUAAUACCGGAUAUGAGCUCCUGCUGCAUGGUGGGGGUUGGAAAGUUUCGGCGGUUGGGGAUGGGCUCGCGGCUUAUCAGCUUGUUGGUGGGGUAGUGGCUUACCAAGGCUUUGACGGGUAGCCGGCCUGAGAGGGUGACCGGCCACAUUGGGACUGAGAUACGGCCCAGACUCCUACGGGAGGCAGCAGUGGGGAAUAUUGCACAAUGGGCGGAAGCCUGAUGCAGCAACGACGCGUGCGGGAUGACGGCCUUCGGGUUGUAAACCGCUUUCGCCUGUGACGAAGCGUGAGUGACGGUAAUGGGUAAAGAAGCACCGGCUAACUACGUG
Molecule: ribosomal RNA, 467 nt
Filed under: uncultured bacterium
Lineage: Bacteria
Description: partial 16S ribosomal RNA
Rfam family: Bacterial small subunit ribosomal RNA
Source: RNAcentral